Lolium rigidum is the source of this 1979-nucleotide long non-coding RNA. RefSeq lists it as uncharacterized. The transcript has 3 exons. NCBI's taxonomy places the organism in Eukaryota, Viridiplantae, Streptophyta, Magnoliopsida, Poales, Poaceae. The record is from RefSeq and is a predicted model, not a curated record.
AAACCCUAGUAGCGGCUCGGGGUUCGCCGGCGCGGCCGCCUCCCCUUCACCGCAUCUUCGGCUGCGCUCCCCUCUGACAACUUCGACUUCUAAUGUCGUCCACGACCUCGCUCCGUCCUCCGAUUCUAUGGCUGCUCCAGCCCGACGCAUACGACCACGUGCAGGUUCUCCGCAUCGACCACGUCGCUCCCAUGCUCAUGGCCGCCUUCCCUUCCCAUUCUCGCAGGAUCUGGCUUCUCCAGUUCGAGGAUGUGGUGGUGGUGCUGCUGCUGCUCCACUACUACAUCACGGCGGAGGUUUAACCGCACCGCCACACUGGUCGCCUCUCCGACGUCUACGAUCAGAAUUUUGAAGAUCAACCAACUCACUGAACCCAUCCCUUCUACAUUGUCCUGAAUUCCAAAUGUCAAAACCUUGUGAGUAUCUUAGUCCAUUUCUUUCUCAUGUCUACUCAUUCUGGGAUUCUUGGCCAAACUUGAUGCGCUGUUUAACUAUGUUCCUGUUUUUUUCACCUAUCCUUGUGUCUUGCAGUAUGCAUAUAUUACACGAUUUUUUAUUAUUAUUGAGCAAUUUCUUUUCAGCCUGAUGUAUUUUUCUUGCAAUUAAAUGUACCACUAUUUUCUUCGUGCGUGUGAGGACGGCCUAUGCCUCCACUCUGCCUCCGACGAGGUGCCACCAUGGAGGCGGAGGGGGCGACGGCGGGAAGGGAGAUCUCCUAGGUCUUCCUCUUCGGGCAGAAGGCGGCACUGUCCUCCGCCUGCUCCUCGAGCGGCAGCGCCGGAGGGGGAGACGGCUAAGGAGCUCCCCGACCUGGCCCUGUUCCUCGCCCAGGUCGUGCCCUUUUACCCGGAUGGCCUGGACGAUUUGGUCAACCAGAUUGGGGGCCUUCGAGACCUAUGAUGUCUAGGGCAACAUGCCUUCUGUCCCGCCCGCCGUCAUCGACUCCAUCUGCAGCUCUGCGAGGGCCCCGAGCACGAGGUCACCUCGGGCCGUCGAGAGCUAGGUAUGGAUAAUUAUGCCCCUCUCUGUAUAUUGUUUAGAGGAUCAAAGUGAUUCCUUCGUCUUUGCAUUGGUGAUGCUUGAUGUGAUUUUCGGCAAUGUUGUGGGGAAAUUUUUGCUCGCAAUUGCAAGUACAUUGUAUAUGAUUGGUUGAUUUUGCAGAUCAUUGUUACUCCAUGGCUGAGAGGAGAGAUUCCUGUUGCAUAGUUAGCACUAUACUAUAAUAGAUCACAUGAUUAGUCCACCUACAAAAGUGAUGCCAUAAACUUGUUAAUUUGGUAUAUGUAAAGUGAGUUGUCUGAAUUUGUGAACAUGUUAUCUCUCUGUUGUUUGCUAAGAAAUUCAACUGUAGCUUUUACUGGCUAGGCUAGUUGAUUCUAUGUAGUUCCCUUGUGUUUGAGAUUUCAGAAUAUAGACAGAGAUUGAGCUAAAUGCCCCAGUCCAGGAGCUAGUUGACAUUGGCACCCAAAGGUGGUAUUUCUCUCUUUGGUCAUGCUCUACUGCUAGACAAUUGAUCACUAUGUGCUAUAUUUUCUUAAUGCUGUGAGAGAAAUUCAGUAUUCAUAUCAAUUGUUUAUGUUGAGGUAGACAUCUAUCGAGGCAUCCUAGCUACUAGCUGAUCUCUCUACUGUUACUACUCUUUACCAUGUGUUGAUUCUUUCUCUUCCCGUUGGUGGAUCAGCCCAUCCAGAUUCAAAAAUUGUUGUGACUGGUUCUGACUAAGCUCCUGCCAUCUACCUGUUUGAUGUUAUGCCCAUAAGAACUAAAAGAUCUAAUUUCUUCAGGUUUGUUUGUGGGAUUUUGAGAGCUACGGCAAUAGUAAAUUGGCAGUACAUGUAAAUACAUCUGGUUCAAGAUUGUUUUGUUGAUUUUGAUUUGGUGACUUUUAUCUUGCUAUAGGCAGUGUCGUGUAGCUCCAGCUGCUGGAUAUGGUUCACCUUGGAGUGGUUCUGAUACACGAGGUAAAUUUGAUGCAAAGA